UGGGGUGGGGGGUGGAUGUGAUUUUAAGACGCUGAAAAGAGACUCCACACUGCUGUUUAUUCCUGAGGCAAUUGGAAAGUCGGGGUUAAAGGAGAGGAGGACCCUUGCCGCCCAUGCAUUUUUAUAUGCUCGAUUGGAAACUGUCCUCAUAAAUGCAGCCUGAAUGUUAAUGGCCAACCGUUCCAGCUACUUAACACUCCUCUGCGUAAGCAGCUCUGGAAAUUGAGGUUGCUGCUUACAGAGCACAAGUGUGCUGAUUUAGGGAGGCUGCAGUUCACAGCCUGCUCUUUCCCAGCCAUCCCCUUCUGUAAGCCCAGGACGGUGAAGCUUGGUGUACGAGAAGAGGUCUUCCUGGGAAGUAGACUGUAGCUGUGUUUGUCUCUGACUUUGCAUUGUGGCACUUUUUAUUGAGACAGGGUCCCACCAUGUGGCCCCGGUUAAUCUGGAACCCACAGAGAUCCAUCUGCCUCUGCCUCCUGGGGUUAAAGGAAGACACCAGUAUGUCUGGCCCUGCAUCCUGGUGCUUUAUGCAUAUGUGUCUAAUCAUUUCAGCGGUUAUGUCUGUAUUUAUUGCACAUUUGUUGUGUGUUAGACCCUGGCUAACAGCUUUCUGUGCGUUGUGUCAGUUGAUUCUGACAAGUCUUUGGAGGUUUUACUAUGUUCCCAUCUGAAAGGUAGUUCAGUGCAAUUAAUAGUUAAAUCUACAGGCUCUCAGACCAGGGAGCUUGGGUUUGCCGCUCGGCUUCCUCACAUCGUAACUGUAGACCCAGGAACCGGGUCAUGAUGUCUCUAAGCUUCGGCUUUCUUAUCUAUAAGAUGGAGGCUACAGAUGUGGAAAUGAUCAUAGGAUCCAUCUCAGGUAAUUGUUCCGAGUUUAAAUGAUUUAAUGCAAAUAAACUCACUACCAUAUAGUAGACACUCAAAAAAUGUUAACUGUUCUGGUGUCCGUCAGACGACAGCAAAGCUUGGGAAGGCCGGGUGCUUUCUCCAGGGCCUCCAACUGUAACCAGUCAAGUGGGAUUCUCCCAGCUUCACACCUGUAUUAGUCAACUGGGUAAGCAACUGUGAAGUUCCCUGCAGGUGGGAAUGAUGCCCCUCUGCUCUCCAGGUGUUCAGCACUGAUGCUUUGGAUACUAUGCCUUCUUCUUCAUGAACAUUAGACGAGAAGCUGUAAUUUAAUUUAAUUUAGGUUUUCAGAAUGUAUGACAAAGUCAUCAGGAAAGCAGACUUAUAAAAACCAAAGCAAAGCAAACAAACAGGGCUCUCAGCUACAACGUAAGAAGGCGCGCCUCAGCCAGUUCCCUCCAAGGACCCCAGAAACAUUUGCCUUAUUUAUUUUCAGAACACCGAAGGAGAAAGCUCAGGCCUGGAGUGUGAGCAGCUCCUCAGAGGAAGGAGAAGGGGCCUCUGGACAAAUCGCUCUGGUCUUAGCAGAGUAGAGGACCUUGGCACCAUUUCUGCAAUAGUGUCCCCUGGGGACCUGGGAGAGUUUACAGCUUUCCCAGCUGAGGACAAUGAACCUACAACAAUACCCCCCUAACAGAUGGAGCUGGGAAGUUUGCACGCUCUCUAUAUGAAGUAGCAGGACCGCGACAAAGGGUAGACUUUAUGACUGCUUAGGAGAUGCCACCAGGAUGUCAACGCUGAUCAGGGGAUCUGACACACGCCACCAUUUAGUGUUCUGUUCAACCAUCAGUGUGAAGCUGUCUGUGGUUCACCUCUAACUUCUUGACCCACUCUGGACUUCCAGGAAGGUUAAGAACCCUAUUUUAGGGGAAAGAUUAGAGAACACUUUUAAGUCAAGGUUUUCAUUCCAUAACCAUGGUUACUGGAUCUGUACAUUCCACCAACUACAAAUAAAAAAAAUAUUCACAAACUUUGUCAUUAUUAAACAUGCAUAGAUAUUUGUCUCAUUGUUUCUUCCCAGUUCAGUAUAAGGACAUUUACUUGACAUUGACAUUGAAUUGGAUAUUAUAAAUAACCUAAAGUUGAUUUAAAGUGUGUGAGAAGAUGUGCAUGGGUUACAUACAGACACUCCCCCAUUGUAUAAAGGACCUGUGCACCCACCACUUGGUAUCUGUGGGUGCUGCAAAGGGUGCCUGUGGAUGCAGAGGGAUGGCUGCAAUCACUCUUUAAGCUCACAGUGGGCCUCUUUGUUCUUUAGUUUAAGUAUCUGAGUGAUCCAAAAGGAUAUCAAGACCUUGCCUAUUAGGAGCCUGUGAGGUAAGGGGCACAGUCAUUGUUAGAGUGUGGCACUGUUUCCUUAAAGGAGUAACAUGUAUUUGUCAGGAAGUGAGUAGGGGUGAAGGAAGGAGGCAGCGAAACAAUGCCUACAACAAUCUUGACUAGGUCUUGCCCUCUAGGACAUUCUUAUGUGCUAACACAACAUACUACUUUGCUAGGACUUGUGUAAUAAAAUACCACAACCUGUGUGGUUUAAACUACAAACCUGGAGGCUGGAAGUUGAGAUUCAAGGUGUUGUCAUUUCUCCUGAGGACUCCUUCCUUGGCUUUCAGGACCAUAACUUUAUAAUCUCAUUGCUUAUCACCGCUUCAGCUCCUGUCUCUAAACACAGUAACUUUAGAGAUUAAAACGUCAACAUGGAAACUUGGAGUGAGAAAUGAUUUUUCCCCCCGUAAUUCUGCACUGUGAUGUUGACACUUCCCUUGGUAUGUAUUCUCUGUGGGUCUUCCUUCUGAGACUGCACUUAGGUCUUGAUUCCAGCUCGGCUACUGACCUGUGCCGACUUCCUCCACUGUAAGAUCCUGCACUGAAGCAUU
This is a long non-coding RNA of Peromyscus californicus insignis, 2780 nucleotides long. RefSeq lists it as uncharacterized. Lineage: Eukaryota; Metazoa; Chordata; Mammalia; Rodentia; Cricetidae. The transcript is spliced from 3 exons. The record is from RefSeq and is a predicted model, not a curated record.